This 2384-nucleotide long non-coding RNA is filed under the name Mus musculus (house mouse). RNAcentral's name for it is "long non-coding RNA chrX:101323572-101325956". Lineage: Eukaryota; Metazoa; Chordata; Mammalia; Rodentia; Muridae. The record is from RNAcentral.
GUUGCUUUUAUGUUCGUUUUGUUUUGUUUUGUUUUGUUUUGUUUUGUUUUGUUUUGUUUUGUUUUGUUUGAGACAGGGUCUCUCCAUGUAGUCCUGGCUGUCCUGAAACUUGCUAAGUAGACCAAACUGGUCUUGAACAUAUAGAGAUCUGCCUGAGUGCUGGGAUUAAAGAUGUGUACCAUCAUGCCCGGUCCUAGGUUGCUUUUCUUUUUAAAUAUAGAAAGAAAGAAGCUGAUUAGGAACGACCAAUGGUUGCCAAAUAUCUACUAUGUAACAAGUGUGCUAUGACCAUCUUCAAAAUGUGACUCCUGAAUAAAGACCAAGCUGUGUUCUUUCAUGGUCUGUGUGCUGCAAUCCUUCUGAGGAUGACAAAAUGGAAACAAGACUAGGAGAAAGCCAAGGAGUGACAUAGGCGUGGUCAGGAGAUGCUUUGACUACCCUGAAAACUCCCACCAGUAGCUGCCAAAUGAAAUGACUGUGCUGUGUCCUUCACCCUCUGAGGGCCUGGAUGGUGACAUUGCUUAGGUCCAUUCUGUCUGUAUUGUUGUGUUUAACCUUUAGUUGCCACUUUUAAGAUAUUUUCAAUGGGGCCUCUCAUAAUAAAGAGACUCUAAAUUAGGAGACUGUCUCAUGGGGGUGAUUUAGAUACACUAUUUCUUCUCACACAUUCAAGAUGCCUUAGCAAAGCAGGGACCCAUCAGUGAGAAGCUUCAGUUGGUCCUCACACCUUUUAAAGGCCUGGCUGGGCAACACAGACAGGAUUUCAAGAUGAUUAACAGUCAUCCUAGACCCACGUGGUUUCAUGGUCUAGGUAGGCCUCACUUCGGAGCAGGGGCCCUGAGCUCACGUCGCACAAAUCAUUUGUGUUCAUAGGGUAUACGAAUAGGGUGCUAGACACAGCUAUCUUAGGAUCUGUAUUUGUCACAUGUGUAAAGGGUCAGUUGUUUAAAAUCCCCAUGUAAGAAUGGUAACCAUGACUGUAGGGCUGCCCCUGUGCUAGUUUCUAUAACUAUUAGGGGUGAAGACGCUCAUCCCGGCACAUACCAUCAGGAACCAUGCUCAAAAAAGGAAAGCCAUCUACCCUUAAGGAACCUCUGGCUACUCAGAAGUGCUCUAUGACAUGAUCUGCUCAAUUGCAGUUCCAACGGCAUCUCUGCAGAACACCUGGUGGUGGUUUUUCAAACCCCACAGAAAAUGGAAUGGCUGUGUUCUUCAGUCUCAGGACUACCUGUUUGGAUGAGAAAAGGCGAAUCUCACAGUUCCAAAUUAAUAAAUGUGGAGCCAUUGGUGGUAGUGGGGGUGGGGGGCACAAAUAAAUACAAGGCUCCUUAGGAAUCACUCAUAAAAUGAAAUAAAGAUUCGUCGUCACUGUACAGAGCCACCUCACCCUCUUUGAUGGAGAGACUGGGAAAGUCCUUGAAGAGAAGGCCAUGACCACAGUUGUGUGGAAUUAGACGAAGCAUUCUUGGGAGAAGACAGAAAAGUUCACAAUGAGUAAUGGUAGAUGUAGGGGCUCAAAUGCAAAAAGAUUCUGCUUUAGUCAUUCGACAGAUUGGAGUCCAAAAUGUAACAGCCAAGUGUAAGGUGUGAGAGGUAUUGUUCUUAAGAGUAUAUCCCUCAAAAUAAAGGAGAGAAACAUCCUGUGUGUGCUGUCUUGCACUCAUUGGACAACACGUGGGAUCCUCUGCUCAGUUAGAGGCUCUAGACUGCAGCAGAGAUGACAACAAAAGGAUGCUUAGAGGAGAGUGGUGGGAGUAGGGAGUGUGCGCCUGGAGAGAUGUGCCCAGUGUGGGCAAAUGACUAUGGGAUGGUGACAGAGAAAAACUGUAGGCUUUGUGUAUUUGUUUUGGUUUGUUUUAGAUGAGAUAUUACUAUGUAGACCCAGCCAGCCUGGAAUUUGCUAUGUUGACCAGGCUGGCCUCUGCUUCCCGAGGGCUGGUUUGAAGCUGUUGUUUUGUUAUGUAUGACUGAUUCCAAAUGCUCCAAGAUCUGAUGGGUGGAGGUUGUAGGAAAACAGACUUGGAUUCAGCAUUAAAAUGCUGCUCUCUUUUGCCUUUCUAUAAAACCUUUAUUUACUUACUUGUUUAUUGCUCUUGUGAGAUGCAUUUUCUUUGCUUUUUUUAAGACAGGGUCUCAUGGAGCCUGGGCUGGCCUCAAAUUCACUGUGUAGCAGAAUAUGACUCCAAAUUCUGACCCUCCUGCUUCCAUCUCCUGAGUACUAGGACCACGGAUGUGCACCCCCAUGUGCAGAUGCGACAGUGCUGGCAAUGGACCCGAAAGCCUUAUGUGCGCUAGAUGAGCUCCAUUCCCACCGAGCUCCGUCUGCAGCCCUGCUCUUCCUUUCUUCUUUAUAAAGAAAAAUUGUAAUAAAAGUUUCAGCUUCU